AGAGAGAGAGAGAGAGAGAGAGAGAGAGAGAGAGAGCGAGCGACAGGAAGUGAAGUGAAGUGAGUGUGGACGCUUGACUGACUAAUAAAUCACCGCCGGAAAUUAGUCGGUGAAAAGUUUACGCAAACAAAUACGUAGUGGGUGUUUUACGGUUAUCCGCCCGACACAAUUUUCACCGGGAUUAUUUGUGGGCAACUGGAGAUAUUUCUAUCCGAAGUUUAGCCGAGUUUGCAUGAGUUUCACCUGUGUGUUAGCUCGUUAGCUAACGGCGCUUGUUUCUUUAGCAUUCGUUAGCAAAGUGAAUGGACUCUUACCCUCCGCAUAGCUAACCCAGUAGUUUUGUAGUUCAUCGUAUUCGACGUGGAGACCUCGAGAAUUUGUGAGAAUGUUCUACAAGUUAUCCAGCUAACGCUCAGAGAUGCUUCUACGUCGCGGGAGACACCGCGCCAUCUUCUGGACAUCUCUGGGAGAGGAGCGACGUCAUUAGCUGCCGAGGCCACGCCCUUUCUGGACACCUGUCCACCACCGGCCCUUGUUCUUCAUCCGGGUCCCGAGAGACUGGACAACUAAGGACUCGUGCCCUGCUCAGAGGCACUUCAGCAUGAGAACACACCGUGUGUCCUCCACGACACUCACUCGACUCCACUACAGCUGCGGGCUGAAAAAACACCUCACGCAGCGACGACACAUGACCUGAGCUCAGGAUUCGCAUCCACCAGCCCCGGCUCUAAUUAACCUCUCAGCUGAAUCAGAUGCAGCAGGAUGACCCCCCCCCCCCCUCCCAUCCAGUCUCCGAACCUCUGGAGAGGCCGGAGAUAUUCCACCGCUUGCAGAAACAACGCCGUUCCUCCUGGUCCCGACACGUGAGCAGUCUCCAGACUAAAAAUAUCCCUUUCAGAAGGACUCGAGUGAAACACCAGUAUUUUCUGUUGAAUAUGCAGGAGUAAGGAGAACCAGGUGUAAGCACAGGGAGGUAUAGGCACCGCUGGGGGGGAAAUUACGAUAAAAAUGUUUCCGUUUCCAGUCGCUUAGUGAACUAAAUGCCACAUUUUUUUCCCCGAUUUUAUUGGCAAAUAUUUGAAAUAACAAAAAAACAUAGUGUGUCGAGGAAUCCAGAAAGUGUCGGUCAAUCGCAGGCUUUUCACUUAUAAAUGUUGCGGUGUCUUUAUUUGCUGACGUCAUUGUGGCAGUGACAUGAAGUGACAGAUUCCAUCUCUUCGCUUUGUGCGAUGAGCUGGAAAAAAAGCCUCAUCCUUCCUACAGCCCCGGUCAAAAGGUCAACAGCAGGCGCCAAAGAGAACAUGCAACUUCAACAUGCACUCCCUCCUGUUUCUCUCUCUCUCUUUCAUCGCAUCAUAUCUCGCUGUUCCCUUUAGUACGCGCACUCCGAUGCUUCCGCCGUUGUCGUAUUCAACAGAUGCCAGGAGGGCUUCGGUGCUGGAAGACGCUGGCCAUUAAACAAUCACGUUGAAUUACCACUGAAGCAGCUGAAAGGAGGAAGAUCUGAACUCAGGAGUUAAAAAUCCCUCUAAAGUUCCUCUUCGUCACGCCAGGGUUUUAGCUGCAGUGUCUUACUCAAACUUUAUAGCUACUUUCAAAUUUAGCCUCUUAUCAAUUUAUGCUGGACAUUAUAGUAAAAAAGAAAAUAUAUUUUAUUCACUGUAAGAAGCAAGGACAGUCAUUCAUGGUGUCUCACAGUGUUUAUUAAUUGAGCUUUCAAAGGAAAAAAGCCAUAAGGAACAUUUACAUAUGCCCGGAUCAUAAAAUCGCCAUUACUUCAUCAGAAAAACCAUUAUCUGCACGUGUAGUUCCUUCCCUCAACAAGUGAAUCACUGAUUUUAUGGGUUUAAUUAAAAAGCAGGGCACGAAGAAAGUUCCGUGAAGAUAAAGUUUGUGGUAAGUUACUGUCCCCUGUGUAACAAUAGUGCUCUAAAACAAAAGUAUGCCAUUGGCAAAGUGGAGUAAGAAAAUAAAAUUCUUGACAUGCA
Molecule: long non-coding RNA, 1988 nt
Organism: Scophthalmus maximus (turbot)
Lineage: Eukaryota; Metazoa; Chordata; Actinopteri; Pleuronectiformes; Scophthalmidae
Exons: 4
Source: RefSeq, a predicted model, not a curated record